Molecule: ribosomal RNA, 254 nt
Filed under: uncultured bacterium
Lineage: Bacteria
Description: partial 16S ribosomal RNA
Rfam family: Bacterial small subunit ribosomal RNA
Source: RNAcentral
GACGGGGGAUGCAAGUGUUAUCCGGAAUCACUGGGCGUAAAGCGUCUGCAGGUGGUUUCCUAAGUCCACUGUUAAACCUUGAGGCUCAACCUCAAAUCUGCAUUGGAAACUAGGAGACUUGAGUAUAGUAGGGGUAGAGGGAAUUUCCAGUGGAGCGGUGAAAUGCGUAGAUAUUGGAAAGAACACCGAUGGCGAAGGCACUCUACUGGGCUAUUACUGACCACUCAGAGACGAAAGCUAGGGGAGCAAAUGGG